UGGGGAAUUUUGGACAAUGGGGGAAACCCUGAUCCAGCCAUCCCGCGUGUGCGAUGAAGGCCUUCGGGUUGUAAAGCACUUUUGGCAGGAAAGAAACGUCAUGGGUUAAUACCCCGUGAAACUGACGGUACCUGCAGAAUAAGCACCGGCUAACUACGUGCCAGCAGCCGCGGUAAUACGUAGGGUGCAAGCGUUAAUCGGAAUUACUGGGCGUAAAGCGUGCGCAGGCGGUUCGGAAAGAAAGAUGUGAAAUCCCAGAGCUCAACUUUGGAACUGCAUUUGUAACUACCGGGCUAGAGUGUGUCAGAGGGAGGUGGAAUUCCGCGUGUAGCAGUGAAAUGCGUAGAUAUGCGGAGGAACACCGAUGGCGAAGGCAGCCUCCUGGGAUAACACUGACGCUCAUGCACGAAAGCGUGGGGAGCAAACAGG
Molecule: ribosomal RNA, 429 nt
Filed under: Acidobacteriota bacterium
Lineage: Bacteria; Pseudomonadati; Acidobacteriota
Description: Acidobacteria bacterium partial 16S ribosomal RNA
Rfam family: Bacterial small subunit ribosomal RNA
Source: RNAcentral